This 26-nucleotide non-coding RNA is filed under the name Homo sapiens (human). The record is from RNAcentral. Lineage: Eukaryota; Metazoa; Chordata; Mammalia; Primates; Hominidae.
UCCUUGCCAUAAAAUAUCACAUUAAA